AAUAGAUACCCUGGUAGUCCACGCCGUAAACGAUGAGUGCUAAGUGUUAGAGGGUUUCCGCCCUUUAGUGCUGCAGCUAACGCAUUAAGCACUCCGCCUGGGGAGUACGGCCGCAAGGCUGAAACUCAAAGGAAUUGACGGGGGCCCGCACAAGCGGUGGAGCAUGUGGUUUAAUUCGAAGCAACGCGAAGAACCUUACCAGGUCUUGACAUCCUCUUGACCUCCCUAGAGAUAGGGAUUUCCCUUCGGGGGACAGGAGUGACAGGUGGUGCAUGGUUGUCGUCAGCUCGUGUCGUGAGAUGUUGGGUUAAGUCCCGCAACGAGCGCAACCCUUGACCUUAGUUGCCAGCAUUUAGUUGGGCACUCUAAGGUGACUGCCGGUGACAAACCGGAGGAAGGUGGGGAUGACGUCAAAUCAUCAUGCCCCUUAUGACCUGGGCUACACACGUGCUACAAUGGAUGGUACAAAGGGCUGCAAGACCGCGAGGUUUAGCCAAUCCCAUAAAACCAUUCUCAGUUCGGAUUGUAGGCUGCAACUCG
This 540-nucleotide ribosomal RNA is filed under the name uncultured bacterium. RNAcentral describes it as "bacterial SSU rRNA". It matches the Rfam family "Bacterial small subunit ribosomal RNA", at positions 777 to 1314 of the family's 1533-position model. The record is from RNAcentral.